This 607-nucleotide ribosomal RNA is filed under the name uncultured bacterium. RNAcentral's name for it is "bacterial SSU rRNA". It matches the Rfam family "Bacterial small subunit ribosomal RNA", at positions 888 to 1498 of the family's 1533-position model. The record is from RNAcentral.
GCAAGAUUAAAACUCAAAGGAAUAGACGGGGACCCGCACAAGCGGUGGAGCAUGUGGUUUAAUUCGAAGAUACGCGAAGAACCUUACCUAGACUUGAAAUCCUUAGAAUCCUGCAGAGAUGCGGGAGUGCUAGUUUACUAGAACUAAGUGACAGGUGCUGCACGGCUGUCGUCAGCUCGUGUCGUGAGAUGUUGGGUUAAGUCCCGCAACGAGCGCAACCCUCGUGAUUAGUUGCUAACAGUUCGGCUGAGCACUCUAAUCAGACUGCCUUCGUAAGGAGGAGGAAGGUGAGGACGACGUCAAGUCAUCAUGGCCCUUAUGUCUAGGGCUACACACGUGCUACAAUGGUUGGGACAAAGAGCAGCAAUACCGCGAGGUGGAGCAAAUCUUAAAACCCAAUCUCAGUUCGGAUUGAAGUCUGCAACUCGACUUCAUGAAGCUGGAAUCGCUAGUAAUCGUAGAUCAGCAAUGCUACGGUGAAUACGUUCCCGGGUCUUGUACUCACCGCCCGUCACACCAUGGGAGUUGAUUUCGCUCGAAGCCGGAAUACUAAAUUAGUUACCGUCCACAGCGGAAUUAGCGACUGGGGUGAAGUCGUAACAAGGUA